CGGGGCGUAGCGCAGCUCGGUUAGCGCACUUGUCUGGGGGACAAGGGGUCGCUGGUUCAAAUCCAGUCGCCCCGACCA
RNAcentral lists this transfer RNA (78 nucleotides) under bacterium. Its description in RNAcentral is "tRNA-Pro". It matches the Rfam family "tRNA". From Rfam's summary of the family: Transfer RNA (tRNA) molecules are approximately 80 nucleotides in length. Their secondary structure includes four short double-helical elements and three loops (D, anti-codon, and T loops). The record is from RNAcentral. RNAcentral also lists the same sequence under 1 other name.